AGCAGCGACUAAAUGAUUUUGAAAUUGUAAUGACUGAAGCAUCAUGCACAGGAGUCCAUCAAAGUUCUGAAGAAAUGCAAGCUGUCACACCCAAAAUCCCUAACCUGUGAGUGGGACAUGGUGUGGAUGGCGUGGGCACCAAGGGGACAUGGAACUUCUCCUACCCAGCACCAACAACAAACGAGGCAAGGACCGGAACAGGAGUUAUGGCAGGAAGAGAAAACCCAAUAACGGUGAAUAAGUCAGGGCUGGAGAGACAGGUCAGGAGAUAAAAACACACUUGCCGGGCAAGCCUGAUAGGCUGAGUUUAGAUUCCCAGAACCCAGGCUUUAAAAACAAAAAGCCAGAGGCAGCAAUGCAAAUGCCUCUAAGCCUGGUGCAAGCAUUUCAGAUUUAAGGCAGAGACGGGAGAGGCUCUGACCCUCACAGGCCAGCUAGCUUGGUGUACGCAGUGGGAAACAAAAGAGACUUUGCCUCAACCAGGGCGGAAAGCUGAGGGCCAACAUCUGAAAUUAUCCUCGGAUCUGUAUAUCACAUUAUAACAUACCCACGCCCACAACCAUAGGCGCGCACACACCAACAGCAAAACACUAGUUGGCUAAAAUUAAAUCAGUCCAUUAGGUUGGUCACCAUGGGUUUUGGGGCUUCAUGUGGCCUAUUGAUUGCCUCCUCUGAUGGUAAGUUCCUCCCUUCAGGUACCAUCUUUGUCUCAUCCCACUCUACUGUGCCGGCCCCAGGAUCAAGAUGUCCUUCCACGCUUAUCCGGAGUCACAGGGGGGAUCUUCACAGUCAGAAAACGUAACUACCAAGAUACAGCUGUGGCUUCCUAGGUUACUUCCCAUCUAACUCUCAGCCUACAGAGUCAGGAUGUCCCUAACCUCAAAGGAGGUGGAUGUACAUAGCAGCGGCUUCUCUCCCCAUUCCCACUGUCUGCCUGGCUACCUACUCCUGCAAAUAUGCUCCCCCCCAAUCACCUUUUCCAUGCAAGACAGCUCUACUCUUGAGUUGCUCAGGUCAGAAACAGAGGCAUCAUCUUCCUUUUUCUUCUAUCCUUCAUAGUCCACAUCCAAUCCAUCAAUAAAUGCUGUUCUUUCUAUAGCUCAAAUGUGUUCUGAAUCUAAGCAUCCCCCCUCUCCCAUCGCCUCCUGAUCACCAUCGCCUCAGUCCUGCAGCUAUGAGCCGAAUGUCUGUGUCGUCCUGGAAUUCACGUCCUGAAAUCCAUCCUUCAAGUCCAAAGGUGGUUAGACAUGUGCACCGUCUGUUAUAAGCUCUUCCCUCACCAGCAGUGCCUCCUUACUAUGUAAUUACGUAGCGGAAGGAGAAAGGAAAAAAAUCCCCUUCAAGUGUCUUUAAAGGAACACUAGGGACACUAAUCCCGUUCCUAAAGAUGGAGCCCCAGCAGACUAACCAAGGAACAAUGAGAAAUAAAUCUCUAUUCUUUAUCAAUUACACAGCCUACGAUAUUUUGUGAUAGCCACGGGAACAAAUUAAGAAGUCUCGAGUUAUUUCAGUAACAUCGUAACUGCUCUUGCUACAUGUACAGUCCCCACAUCAACCAUCGCAGCCUCUUCACAGAGUAUCUUAACAUAGAGUUCGUUACCUCUGCACAUCAAACAACGCCUGAAGUUCUGACAACUCCCCAGAAAGCCCUAGCUCACCUCCAUCCCAGCCCACUCACGACCUCUCUGAUCUGCUCCGCAUUCCUCUAGCUCACUGGGGUGUCCCAGCCACCCUGGGAGCUGCACGGUUUACCAGUGAGAAGCGCUCUGUUCCGGCGUCCGUGCUCCUGCAGCGCCCUCUGCUGGGCUCUCUCUAUCCUGCAGGAUCCGGGUGGCUCCAUUUCUCUUGUCUCUUCUAAGAUGUCACGGCAACUUCCUUACGCCACUCUCUGUGGCCUUGGCCUGCUUCAUUUUUUCUGCAUAGCAAUCAUCACGAGUUGCUAUCUGCUGGUUGCUUGAUUCCUCCCGUGUUAUAUACCCUUUAUAUCUUGGCAGAAGUUCACUGUCAUUGCCCGUCCCCAGUAGCUAAGAAAAUGCAAGCCCAAGAUGGUAAAUCCGACAAGCCUUUGAAUGACCAUCAAGACGUCUAACUGCAAUGACAGCGUCCUGAGGUCCCUCGACUUGACACGGCAGCCUUUCUCGGCCUCACGGUGUGGAGAACACCUUUAGGGACGGCUCGGCUACAUUUACAGGCUUACUCAUGAUGUGAAGAAUUUUAGAAAGAAAAACGUUUCAAAUACGCUUUAUAAAGGAAUGAUUAUAUCCACCCAGGAAGGUCUCUGGCUGUGGGAGAAAGCUUACUAAGGACUAAGAGAACAAAGGCUCGCCCCUGAGUCAGGUAGCCCGGAGUACUUGGCGAGCAUGGCGGCCCUGAGACACAUGAAAAAGGAUUGAUGGACUAUUUCACAAGUGUUUUUAAGUAGGAAGAUUUAGCACAUAACUGACUGUAAAACAUUUGUUUGAAAAGUGAAGAAAAAGGACAUUAUUUUUCUGUCCCUUUAGUAGUUAGAAAUGUUUGGAGAUAAGCGUAGUAUUUAAAUCUUUGGGAUGUGUAAAUUGUAUUCAACAGCAUUUUUAGACACGGCAUUAGGAAUACUUUAAAGAGACUGUCUACUGCAUUAAUUUUAAUUAUGCUCUACCGGACUCACAAUGCUUUGAAAUGCUUAUAAAGUGCCCUCAAGAUCUUUUAUUAAUCAAAAUACAAGCACCAAGCUCAGACGCGGCUCUCGACUCUGGGUGGCAACGGCUUGCCUGAGAGCGCCACCUGCUGUUUCCAGUGCGUACUGUAAAUAACGUUUUUUGGACUUUAGCGGUCGUGGCUAGAACAAAGACAGUUUCUUAGGGACGGGUCAACACGCAAUCGCGUUACUUUAAAAGCGGCGUUUCCUCCUGAGGUCUGGAAGACCACGCUGGUGCCGAUACCUGGAGGGCUCCUUUAGAAGCAAGGACUUUUGAAGAUCACUGCUGGCCUCCUGGAAGAGAUUUUACUUCUUACACCGUCUAAAUGCCCUGGUAACUUUUCACACAGAGCUCAGGAGUCACAUUUGACCUCCAGCCAUUUCUAAGGUCAGAAGAACUGUAUUAAAAAAGCCUCUCAUCCCUAAUGUUAAUUUAACACUACGUAAUGGAUAUCUAAGGUCCUUGAUAGAUGUGCAAAUUAACAAUUAUGCCACUGCACCCCGCUGUUAAUGCUAUCAACAUUGCUCCAGAAACUCCGUUUGGGCUUGUGGCAGUCUUCUGUUCCUGAAGCUUGAGAUGGUCCUGAGGUCUGGGUGGCUUGUGACUUAAAGACCCCAGCAGUAUGACCCACACACACUAGCCAGCCUUCAAGGCGGGAGGAGGGAUGCCUUGGACCCUUCACUGGAUUUCUUUUGUGAUAUGAAUAUGCAUUCAGUUCAUUUGCAUCCACUGUGAACUCUUGAUGGGCAGGAGGCCAUAAAGCACCUCAGAGAAAAAGAUGGGAUUAACCCACCUCUUUUCCGGCAUCACUACUCGCCGGUCUCCAUAUUCGUCCCAAGCAGACGGAAGAGAAAGUGUGCCUACUCCAGAAGACAGGGAAAGAGGGUGUGAUUGCUAUAAAACACGCACUCGCGACCAUCAGCCACGAGCCUCGAGCAAACAUUGUGAGUGACGUAUCCCACGGAGUUAAACUAGAGCGCUGUAAUCCAUUGACGUUGAAUGUUGUUUGCUGUGCCUCCACAGUAACAGAAGAACAAUAAAAUCUGAUUGAUACAAACCAUC
Peromyscus californicus insignis is the source of this 3740-nucleotide long non-coding RNA. RefSeq lists it as uncharacterized. Lineage: Eukaryota; Metazoa; Chordata; Mammalia; Rodentia; Cricetidae. The transcript is spliced from 2 exons. The record is from RefSeq and is a predicted model, not a curated record.